Molecule: long non-coding RNA, 623 nt
Filed under: Rattus norvegicus (Norway rat)
Lineage: Eukaryota; Metazoa; Chordata; Mammalia; Rodentia; Muridae
Description: long non-coding RNA NONRATT026559
Source: RNAcentral
GCGUGAACUCCUUCAGCUGUCUGUGUCGUCCUGGCUACACAGGCACACAUUGCCAAUAUAAGGUUGACCCCUGCUUCUCCCGGCCCUGUCUACAUGGGGGCAUCUGCAACCCCACCCACUCAGGAUUUGAAUGCACCUGCCGGGAGGGCUUCACUGGGAAUCAGUGUCAGAACCCAGUGGACUGGUGCAGCCAGGCACCCUGUCAGAAUGGGGGUCGCUGUGUCCAGACUGGGGCUUACUGCAUCUGUCCGCCUGAAUGGAGUGGCCCCCUGUGCGACAUACCAAGCCUACCCUGCACGGAGGCUGCAGCCCACAUGGGGGUGCGGUUGGAGCAGCUGUGUCAGGCGGGUGGCCAGUGCAUAGACAAGGACCACUCCCACUACUGUGUGUGUCCGGAGGGCCGUAUGGGUAGUCACUGCGAACAGGAGGUGGAUCCCUGCACAGCCCAGCCUUGCCAGCAUGGGGGCACCUGCCGUGGUUACAUGGGCGGCUAUGUGUGUGAGUGUCCAGCCGGCUACUCUGGUGACAGUUGUGAGGAUGAUGUGGAUGAGUGCGCUUCCCAGCCCUGCCAGAAUGGAGGCUCCUGUAUUGAUCUUGUGGCCCACUAUCUCUGCUCCUGUCCC